Molecule: ribosomal RNA, 288 nt
Filed under: Xanthomonas citri pv. citri
Lineage: Bacteria; Pseudomonadati; Pseudomonadota; Gammaproteobacteria; Lysobacterales; Lysobacteraceae
Description: partial 23S ribosomal RNA
Rfam family: Bacterial large subunit ribosomal RNA
Source: RNAcentral
AUAUUGAAAUUCGGCACAGCUUGUACAGGAUAGGUAGGAGCCUUUGAAACGUGAGCGCUAGCUUACGUGGAGGCGCUGGUGGGAUACUACCCUAGCUGUGUUGGCUUUCUAACCCGCACCACUUAUCGUGGUGGGAGACAGUGUCAGGCGGGCAGUUUGACUGGGGCGGUCGCCUCCUAAAAGGUAACGGAGGCGCUCAAAGGUUCCCUCAGAAUGGUUGGAAAUCAUUCAUAGAGUGUAAAGGUAUAAGGGAGCUUGACUGCGAGACCUACAAGUCGAGCAGGGUCG